UGUAAUAGGCCGAAAGAACCACAUAUCCCUCAAGCAGAGCGCGCGCCUCUGCCAUCCCCAAACCACCGCCGCGCGUACCGCCGCCGCGCGUACACCGAAGCCACCGCUGCCGCGCUCCUCCGAAGCUCUCCGACGCGCGCGCCUGUGCUCUCGACCCGCGGUCGACGACGCCGCUGCCAGCUCGCCGGUGGCUCCUCUUCCACCCCGCUAUCCGAUGGCAUACCCGCUCCUUCCUCUAGCUCAAGGUGUGGAUUUUAGGUAUCUAGGGAAGAUUUACUUAAGUAACUAGUGCGCGGUAACCUGUAUGGCAGCAAGCUUUGCAAGUAGUGAUCAUCAACCUGAAGUAAAUAACAUCGGGCGCAAAAAGUAAAGUGGACAUGAGUGGUAUGCCAGACUAUCUGACGAGAAGAAUCAACAGAUGGCCCGACUACAAAAGAAAGUUGCAGCCCUCUGUGUGAAUGUCACUGUACCUCAAUCCUCUACCCCACAAGUUUCACCUGGGGCUCUUCGUCACUCUCAAUCCCAUCCUCAUCAAGUUCCUCUAUGUCAGCAUCAUUCUCCUGAGAUUCUUGUUGCUCCGGCCCAGGAUGAAUGUUAUUGAUUUCAGCAUUAUAUUCCGGAGGCACUUCAGCACUGGUUUCAGAUUCUUGUUGCUCCGGCCCAGGCUGAAUGUUGUUGAUUUCAGCAUAAUAUUCUGGAGGUACUUGAGCACUGGUUUUAGAUUCGUGUUGCUCCGGCCCAGGAUGAAUGUUAUUGAUUUCAGCAUUAUAUUCCGGAGGCACUUGAGCACUGGUUUCAGAUUCUUGUUCCUCCAGCCCAGACUGAAUGUUGUUGGUUUCAGCAUAAUAUUCUGGAGGUACUUGAGCACUGGUUUCAGAUUCUUGUUGCUCCAUCCCAGGAUGAAUGUUAUUGGUUUCACCAUUAUAUUCCGGAGGCACUUCAGCACUGGUUUCAGAUUCUUGUUGCUCCGGCCCAGGCUGAAUGUUGUUGGUUUCAGCAUAAUAUUCCGGAGGUACUUGAGCACUGGUUUCAGAUUCUUGCUGCUCCGGCCCAGGCUGAUUGUUGCUGAUUCCACCAUUAUUCUCCUGGUGUACUAGAUCAUUUGUUCCAUGUGCUUCUUCCUUAUCCCACAGACUACUCUUCUCAAUACCACAGUGGCUAAGCAAUGCCCAGAUGAGGGUUAUGAACUCGCCUCCCGACUCGAGCUGAUACUUGUGAUCUGCUGCAUUCCAACUUGGGGCCAUGUGCACAAGUAAGUCGGCCCACACUUCAGCUAGAAUCUUCCAACGGCUUUCUUGAUCCUCGUUCUUGAUCAGGGCCUUGCCAAGAGCAGCACCUUGCUGCACUAUGUUCAUGCCCGUAACCCUAUCCACUUUCUUCAGCUCGUCUUCUUCCGCUAUGGCAAUGAGUUUGCUAUAACUACACUUUCUCAAGUUGCAAUCUUUGAGUUGUUCACGAACAUCUCGUAAUGUCUCCACAAAGAUCAUACCAGGCACAACAAAACUAUCUGGCAACAGCGCAGACCGAAAAACCUGCAGGUACGACGGCUUGGAAGUGCGGCUGACGAGUGUCUUCAGGCCUGACCAAGCAGAGCGAAAGAACCCAGGUUUGCUCAAGUCAAUUUGACAGUUUCGGGCAAGCUCGAUCUCGCAGAGGCUGGUGGCGAUGUGCCACACCAGAAUGACCUGAGAGCAUGUGUGUAGCUCGAGGCAGGCCCAGCUGUACCGCUCAAACCUUUCCAGUGAGCCACUCAGCGAUGGAAUUUCUUUGGGCAGCUGACUUUUCUUGAGAUCCACGUGGCGGAGUGCAUUUAAGAUUGCUGACUUGACACAUUUUGGGACCUUGAUAGACUUGCCAAGUUUUCUUCCAUCUAAUUCCUGUUGCAUAUUUCUCAUGCUAAUGGUAUUCGCUGCUUUCUGAAAUAAUGAUUUGUAAUUGCAGGACUCCAAGAAGUCGUACUGGUCCAUGCAUCCAUGCCAUGCAUCACAAAUACUGGACUUGUAAAAUAAUCUGAUAAGACGCCCAUCAAGACAAAACCAACUGAACCAAGGUCGGCUCUGCAGAUACUUGCACACGAGGAGUAAUCUUGUCCAGUUCGACAGCAGGGGUACUUGGUUGUAGACCGUUCGGAUGUCCACAGCCAGCCAGAGGGCGACAAAGAAGGUUGCCAUUGACAGGAGGAGACUGAACAACAUAGAACCAAGCCCGCUCCAGAAGACCAGAGGGUAGAGGGUGUGGAAGUAGUCUCUCGUGAAUGCAAGCUCUAUCUCCAAGAUUUUGAAGGCCCGCUCACCCUCCGUCUCUGCCGCUAUUUCUGGUUCAGGCACUGUUGUUGUCUCCGCUGCAGCCACUGCUGACGCUGGCGUUGAUGCUGUCUCUCCCACCAUUUGCACAGCCACCACCGUCUCACUCGGUGCCGUCUCCGCUACUGCCUCUGCUGCCGUUUGUUGUGGACUAUCGGUGAUUCUUGAAGUGAUUAGAUUCCGUGUGCUGUCAAUACCUUCUGUUUGUAGGUUCACGUCUUCAAACCUACAACGAAGCAACCUAGACAGUGCGAAAGCCAAGCUGAUAUCCUUGUAUUUGCUGCUGCUACCGGAUGUUAGUACCGGAUCUGUGCAUCCCAAGAUCUUGUCCAGUGUGAUCAGCGACCUCGCGUCGACUUCCUCAAGAUGUAGAGUAUAACUAGGCCUCCUUAAACUGAUGUUCUUAUUGGACUCUCCGCAAACCAGGAACUUCUCAUCGUUGUUGUUGUUAUUGUUGUCCUGGCCAUCGACCUGCGCACCGCUGCCCUGUUCAUGGUCCCGAGCACGGUUGCGCAUGUACUCCGGGAGGAAUUCAGAGUUCUGGCCAUGCAAC
Molecule: non-coding RNA, 2856 nt
Organism: Lolium perenne
Lineage: Eukaryota; Viridiplantae; Streptophyta; Magnoliopsida; Poales; Poaceae
Source: RefSeq, a predicted model, not a curated record